This 460-nucleotide ribosomal RNA is filed under the name uncultured bacterium. Its description in RNAcentral is "partial 16S ribosomal RNA". It matches the Rfam family "Bacterial small subunit ribosomal RNA", at positions 338 to 795 of the family's 1533-position model. The record is from RNAcentral.
CCUACGGGAGGCUGCAGUGAGGAAUAUUGGUCAAUGGCCGUAAGGCUGAACCAGCCAAGUCGCGUGAAGGAAGAAGGAUCUAUGGUUUGUAAACUUCUUUUAUAGGGGAAUAAAGGUAUCCACGUGUGGAUAUUUGCAUGUACCCUAUGAAUAAGCAUCGGCUAACUCCGUGCCAGCAGCCGCGGUAAUACGGAGGAUGCGAGCGUUAUCCGGAUUUAUUGGGUUUAAAGGGUGCGUAGGUUGUUUUUUAAGUCAGCGGUGAAAGUUUGUGGCUCAACCAUCAAAUUGCCGUUGAAACUGGAAGACGUGAGUGUGUUUGAGGUAGGCGGAAUGCGUGGUGUAGCGGUGAAAUGCAUAGAUAUCACGCAGAACUCCGAUUGCGAAGGCAGCUUACUAAGCCAUAACUGACACUGAAGCACGAAAGCGUGGGGAUCAAACAGGAUUAGAUACCCUUGUAGUC